UAGAGUUUGAUCAUGGCUCAGAUUGAACGCUGGCGGCAGGCCUAACACAUGCAAGUCGAGCGGCAGCACGAGGAAGCUUGCUUUCUUGGUGGCGAGCGGCGGACGGGUGAGUAAUACAUGGGAAUCUGCCCGAUAGUGGGGGACAACGUUUCGAAAGGAACGCUAAUACCGCAUACGUCCUACGGGAGAAAGCAGGCUUAGGCUUGCGCUAUCGGAUGAGCCCAUGUCGGAUUAGCUUGUUGGUGAGGUAAUGGCUCACCAAGGCGACGAUCCGUAACUGGUCUGAGAGGAUGAUCAGUCACACCGGAACUGAGACACGGUCCGGACUCCUACGGGAGGCAGCAGUGGGGAAUAUUGGACAAUGGGGGCAACCCUGAUCCAGCCAUGCCGCGUGUGUGAAGAAGGCCUUCGGGUUGUAAAGCACUUUCAGCGAGGAGGAAAGCAGUAAGGUUAAUACCCUUAUUGUGUGACGUACUCGCAGAAGAGAC
Molecule: ribosomal RNA, 488 nt
Filed under: Oceanospirillaceae bacterium M1-C11
Lineage: Bacteria; Pseudomonadati; Pseudomonadota; Gammaproteobacteria; Oceanospirillales; Oceanospirillaceae
Description: bacterial SSU rRNA
Rfam family: Bacterial small subunit ribosomal RNA
Source: RNAcentral